GAUGGUUAUUAUGGUCUCAUGUUAUUGUGUUAUAUAACAGGAUGGAUGGUGUAUUAUGGUCUCAUGUUAUUGUGUUAUAUAACAGGAUGGAUGGUGUAUUAUGGUCUCAU
Molecule: non-coding RNA, 110 nt
Organism: Salvelinus sp. IW2-2015
Lineage: Eukaryota; Metazoa; Chordata; Actinopteri; Salmoniformes; Salmonidae
Source: RefSeq, a predicted model, not a curated record